This is a non-coding RNA of Pelobates cultripes (western spadefoot toad), 876 nucleotides long. The record is from the annotation of a GenBank genome assembly. NCBI's taxonomy places the organism in Eukaryota, Metazoa, Chordata, Amphibia, Anura, Pelobatidae.
AGGAGACAUACUACAAGGGAAAGAUGAAUCUGUAGAAACAUUCUUCACCAGACUACAAAUGGCUUGGGAGGCAUUGGGUUACACUGAUGUUGUAACCACUUCCACCAGACUGCUUAUUAACUGUUUCAUGGAUGGUAUCCACAUACCCAUAAGGACUGGUCUCCAAAAUGCUAGACCUGAGUGGAGAAGUUUAACCUAUGGUGAUCUGGUGAAGGUGGCUAGGGGAGUGGAAGCUAAUCUAAAUACUAGAAAGAGGAGCACACCUCUAAUGACUGUAACUGUCCCUAGAGCUGGUGGGGACAGAAGGCAGGUAGACUGCUGGAAUUGUGGCAGGAAAGGACACAUUAAACGUAACUGCAAGUGUCCUCCUAAAAAUAGAAAACCCCAAGAUUCUAAUGAUAACCUCCCAUGACAGCCAACCACCACCACCACCUCCCCCCACCCCAAUAGGAAAUUGGCAAACCAGUGUCCCUACAUAUCAUCAAUAUCCCUGACUCUGCAGGACCCUCACCCAUUAUCAAUGUUACACUGCCUGGGGACCGAAUAAUCCCUUUCCUGUUGGACAUUGGCGCUGCUAAAUCAAUGUUACAGGAAAAAUAUGUGUUCCCGUAUGAGAAAUCUAAUGAUGUAUUAUCAUGUGUAGGGGUGGAUGGUAUCGAAUAUGACAUUCCCCUUACCCACAAGCUGAAAUUGAAGCUACACAACUCUACUGCCCUUGUAACAAGGCUACUUGUCAGCCCUCAUGCCCCUGCUAAUCUACUAGGCAGUGAUAUACUGUCUGCUCUUAGUGCAAAUAUCCAGUAUAGCCCCAGUGGAAAAGUAACAUUGUCUGUGCCUUUAGAGGACAAACAAAUGAUAUCUCUUUCAAAUGUUCUG